RNAcentral lists this ribosomal RNA (330 nucleotides) under uncultured bacterium. RNAcentral's name for it is "bacterial SSU rRNA". It matches the Rfam family "Bacterial small subunit ribosomal RNA", at positions 568 to 898 of the family's 1533-position model. The record is from RNAcentral.
CGUGUAGGCGGUGCGAUAAGUUGGGCGUGAAAUCCCCGAGCUUAACUCGGGUGGGCCGUUCAAGACUGCCGUGCUAGGGUGCGGGAGAGGGAAGUGGAAUUUCCGGUGUAGCGGUGAAAUGCGUAGAUAUCGGGAGGAACACCUGCGGCGAAGGCGGCUUCCUGGACCGUAACCGACGCUGAGGCGCGAAAGCUAGGGGAGCAAACAGGAUUAGAUACCCGUGGUAGUCCUAGCCCUAAACGAUGAGCACUGGGUGUGGCCCCUCACGAGGCCGUGCCGAAGCUAACGCAUUAAGUGCUCCGCCGUGGGGAGUACGGUCGCAAGGCUGAA